Long non-coding RNA from Trachemys scripta elegans, 1910 nucleotides. RefSeq lists it as uncharacterized. The transcript has 5 exons. The record is from RefSeq and is a predicted model, not a curated record. NCBI's taxonomy places the organism in Eukaryota, Metazoa, Chordata, Testudines, Emydidae.
CAGACUGACUGUGUGUGCAGGGGGCUCUCGCGGCAGCUCCCUCCCUCCCUCCCCCGCCCGUGAGUGUGUUCCAGGCGCCUCCAUGCGCCCAGGCUCUGCCGGGGGCUGUUUGUCAGGGAUCAAGAACAGCAAACAGUUCAGUUUACACUAAUUGAAGGGCUUGCUGAUUGUCUGACAUCAAUGCUUAUCUACAUUCACUGAAGGAAAGUAUUGGAUAGAUCAGGUUCUAACAGAUCACCCCACGUUAAGAAAAGCAAUUGAGUACCGAAGCGCUUCUAAACCUGAAGAAGGAAAGUAUCUCUUGCUUUUCAGAAUUACCAGAUGGGGCUUUUCACAUCCCUUUCAGAGCACUGAGGCUCACUGUUUGUACAAGUCUUCACUCUUGAGGCCCUGAAUCAUGUUCACCCAAUGAAGAAGACUUCAACAGAGGACUGGACAGGACUCAUUUGGAGAAAACCAAUUCUCUCUUCUUCAAUCAGCAAGAAAGGACAAAGUUGAGUAUGGGUUGAGGGACUCAGAAGUAGUUUGGGCUCUAGCUACAGUGACAAUCCUGAACUUUAAUCUAUGUUUAAUAGAUGUUUAUAUGAGAGAUACACUAUGAGAUCACACUAUCAGCCCAGCAAAAUCCAUGUUUCAAAGAUGGGGCAUAAAUAAUGAUGGAAGGUUGGCUUUGCUGUUUUACAUUCUCUUUUCCUUCAAGGACUGGUGUCCCAGACUCCAAAGCUCUUUUGGACUGGCCACUUUCCCUAUCUGCCCACCUAUCUUCUGACAUUUGUGUUCUGAUGAAGACCUUCCAAAACAUGGAUUUUUCUUGCCUGCCGUAAGCCACCUACCCAAACCUGUAAUGUUAAACAUCUCAGAGCUGGAUCUUUCACAAUGGUUCAUACUUUGUUCCAAAGUUCACCAGCCCUAAUGUUGACUCCCGUUCCCCUCUUUCCAAAAGCAAGGUGGAAUUGCUUCCACACCAUAUCACGCCCCUACCACUACAGGGCAGGAGAAAGCAUGAAGGAAAUCCAGCUUGACUUAUGGCAGUGCACCUAGUCAGCUCCACAAACAAAUAUUUUUAUAUUGAAUGAAAACACAAACCAAUCUUGGAAUUUGAUGGCCAUGCUGUUUGCUGAUUGUAUUCUAUAAUUUAGACAGGAGAUUGCAGUUUCAAGUUGGCAGAAUUCAACUCAAAAUGAAUUUGAUCCACUCAAAGAACAAAAUACCACUUAGUUUCUUAUAUGGCUAAACAUACAAAUCCAGUCUCCACAAAAUGAAAUGCUAAGCUAGAUUUUGGAUCAAUGUAAUACCUACUCCUGUUAAAUCACUUAAAAAGGAAAACAUCUACAAAGUGUCCCAUUAGGCUGACAAAUUUACAGCACUAUGAAUAGAAAAGCAGAACAAGGCAUUGUGUUUAAGGAGAAGGAAUGGAUUUUAAGUCUGUAGCAUUUCAGCUGUAUGACUAAGGUUAGAUAGCCUAUCACAUCUCUUCCUGCUGUUUAUACAGUUGCUGCAGAUGUGUACUAAGUGGCAAAAUAUGGCCAUUAUAGUACAUUAGCAAAGAAGUUGUGGAGUGAAUUAUAGGAAAUACUGUGGGACUGUAUUAAAGCAUUUGGGAGCAUAUUAUGUUAAUACUUGGAUUUGUACAUAUAUAAUUUGCAUUAAUGCUAAUGAUCAUUAUGAGAGAAAUCCUGCUCCCUCUGUCUCAUGCAUUCGCACGUAUGCCCUGAAAAAACCAGAGCCAUCGGCACUCUGCUGUGUGAAGUGGGCAGUCAGCUUGAAGGAGGCAGGCUAAUGGAACUCUCCCCCAUGUGUUAUUGAUCUCUGUUCAUUGGUAGCUCCCUGUAGCAACACAGACAGAGUUUUCUGGGCUUCGAACAUGGCCAGUGGAUUCAUGAACUACAUAGAGCAGGGGUUGGCAACGU